GGUGUUUAUUUGUGCUAACGAUUGCUUUCGUUUUAUUUGGAGUUAUCAUGUUAUUAAGAAAGCAUCAGUGACUUAAAUUGCUCAAAUUUUUUCGUUUUUUUUUUAUCACACAUGCCAUUAUAAAUUAAAAACACAUAAAAUUCAUGAUAUUUACAAAAAGAAAAUUGAGCAAUUUAAGUUGCUAAUGCAUUCUUAAUAACA
RNAcentral lists this unclassified non-coding RNA (201 nucleotides) under Hevea brasiliensis (rubber tree). The record is from RNAcentral. Lineage: Eukaryota; Viridiplantae; Streptophyta; Magnoliopsida; Malpighiales; Euphorbiaceae.